GAACGCGAAAGGGUCCUUCGAGAUCUGAGUAGAAUGGCGUCCGGGUGAGUAACACGUAGGUAAUCUACUUUUGGGUGGGGAAUAAGUCUAGGGAUAGCUUGAGCAUAAUAGCCGCAAUAAGCAUGGANAAGAUCGAUAGCGGGGGAUCGCAAGACCUCGAGCCUGAAGAGGAGCAUGCGUAUGAUUAGCUAGUUGAUAGGGUAAUGGCAUACCAAGGUUUUGAUCAUUAGGUGGUGUGAGAGGACGGCCAGCCACAUUGGCACUGAAACACGGACCAAACUCAUACGGGAGGCAGCAGUAGGGUAUUGUGGGCAAUGGGCGCAAGCGUGACCCAACAAUGCCGCGUGAACGAUGAAGUCAUUCGGGAUGUAAAGUUCGGAAGUAAGGAUAAGAAAAGCUCCGGAAUAACAAGUCGGAGUUCUGACGGUACCUUAUAUAAGCCCCGGCUAAAUACGUG
Molecule: ribosomal RNA, 457 nt
Filed under: uncultured bacterium
Lineage: Bacteria
Description: bacterial SSU rRNA
Rfam family: Bacterial small subunit ribosomal RNA
Source: RNAcentral